RNAcentral lists this long non-coding RNA (220 nucleotides) under Mytilus galloprovincialis (Mediterranean mussel). Lineage: Eukaryota; Metazoa; Mollusca; Bivalvia; Mytilida; Mytilidae. The record is from RNAcentral.
CAUCGAUGUCACAAUUAGAAAGGUUUGACAAAUCGGUGAAAUAAUCUGGGUUGUCUUUCAAGACAAAAAAAAAAAAAAAAAAAAAAAAAACAGUGCGCUUACCGAUCCAAAAACAGGGAUGACGUUGUAUCGCAUCAUGUUACAGCAUGUGCGGCUGGUAGAAUGUUACAUAUGGCAAACACGAGGCUUUUACAUAUUUCGUGGACAGGUAUAUAGCGGC